UACGUAGGGGGCAAGCGUUGUCCGGAUUUACUGGGUGUAAAGGGAGCGUAGACGGCGAUGCAAGCCAGAUGUGAAAGCCCGGGGCUCAACCCCGGGACUGCAUUUGGAACUGUAUAGCUAGAGUGUCGGAGAGGCAGGCGGAAUUCCUAGUGUAGCGGUGAAAUGCGUAGAUAUUAGGAGGAACACCAGUGGCGAAGGCGGCCUGCUGGACGAUGACUGACGUUGAGGCUCGAAAGCGUGGGGAGCAAACAGG
Molecule: ribosomal RNA, 253 nt
Filed under: uncultured bacterium
Lineage: Bacteria
Description: partial 16S ribosomal RNA
Rfam family: Bacterial small subunit ribosomal RNA
Source: RNAcentral